UGCUGCGGUUAAAAAGCUCGUAGUUGGAUUUCCCUUUCGGACCGGCAACCCAUCCAAGGCGCGCCCUCGUCAUACGUGUUCGAGUCCCUUCGCCCUUCUCGUCUCGUUUGCCUUUGCACUUUUUCCCCUUCCUAUCUCACUCUCGCUGAAGAAUGUUGCUCUUCGCCGGCCUGGUAGCGUGGUAACGGUAGCGACGCGUGCAUAUACGCAUUUUUGGGCUCGUUAGGGCGAGUUAGGUGUGCGCGGCUGGUCGGUUUAAAAGCGGCAGAACGUCCUCGUUAAUGGCAUCACGCCUUAUCGUAGCGUCGUCUCUCCGUUCCGUCCUGUUCGCCCUCCUCUACUCGUCUCCCAUUUAUGUUUGCUCGUUGUUCCGCCGUUUACUUUAGCUUCUUGCGUCGCGGCGAGACAACGCUGAAAGAGUUUGAGAGAAAGCUGGGGUUGGUGUCGAGGCGCGGGGAUUAAAAGCGAGUUGAAGCGUUUUAGGGGCUCGUUCCGGGCGAGAAAGCGCGCCCGGUGGUUCACUGAUCGGCUCCGAAUUGAAAAAGCCGUCGGCUUUCACGGGGUGCUCUUCACCGAGUGUCCCGCGUGGCCGACACGUUCACUUUGAAAAAAUUAGAGUGCUUAGAGCAGGCAAUAACUAAUGCCUGAAUGGUGGUGCAUGGAAUGAUGAAACAGGACCUCGGUUCUGUCCUUUUGUUCGG
Molecule: ribosomal RNA, 701 nt
Filed under: Paraserolis polita
Lineage: Eukaryota; Metazoa; Arthropoda; Malacostraca; Isopoda; Serolidae
Description: partial 18S ribosomal RNA
Source: RNAcentral